This 22-nucleotide microRNA is filed under the name Populus trichocarpa (black cottonwood). RNAcentral's name for it is "ptc-miR536". Its record names the gene ptc-miR536. The record is from miRBase by way of RNAcentral. Lineage: Eukaryota; Viridiplantae; Streptophyta; Magnoliopsida; Malpighiales; Salicaceae. RNAcentral also lists the same sequence under 1 other name.
CGCUCGCCAGCGUUGCACCACC